AGCGAACGCUGGCGGCAGGCCUAACACAUGCAAGUCGAACGGACCCUUCGGGGUUAGUGGCGGACGGGUGAGUAACACGUGGGAACGUGUCUUUAGGUUCGGAAUAGCUCCUGGAAACGGGUGGUAAUACCGAAUGUGCCCUUCGGGGGAAAGAUUUAUCGCCUUUAGAGCGGCCCGCGUCUGAUUAGCUUGUUGGUGAG
RNAcentral lists this ribosomal RNA (200 nucleotides) under uncultured bacterium. RNAcentral describes it as "partial 16S ribosomal RNA". It matches the Rfam family "Bacterial small subunit ribosomal RNA", at positions 29 to 256 of the family's 1533-position model. The record is from RNAcentral.